AUUGAACGCUGGCGGCAUGCCUUACACAUGCAAGUCGAACGGUAACGCGGGGCAACCUGGCGACGAGUGGCGAACGGGUGAGUAAAGCAUCGGAACGUGCCCAGUAGUGGGGGAUAGCCCGGCGAAAGCCGGAUUAAUACCGCAUACGACCUACGGGUGAAAGGGGGGGAUCGCAAGACCUCUCGCUAUUGGAGCGGCCGAUGUCAGAUUAGGUAGUUGGUGGGGUAAAGGCCUACCAAGCCGACGAUCUGUAGCUGGUCUGAGAGGACGACCAGCCACACUGGGACUGAGACACGGCCCAGACUCCUACGGGAGGCAGCAGUGGGGAAUUUUGGACAAUGGGCGCAAGCCUGAUCCGCCAUGCCGCGUGCGGGAAGAAGGCCUGGUGUAACGCUUGUC
RNAcentral lists this ribosomal RNA (399 nucleotides) under uncultured bacterium. RNAcentral describes it as "bacterial SSU rRNA". It matches the Rfam family "Bacterial small subunit ribosomal RNA", at positions 29 to 438 of the family's 1533-position model. The record is from RNAcentral.